This 700-nucleotide ribosomal RNA is filed under the name Acinetobacter pittii. RNAcentral's name for it is "bacterial LSU rRNA". It matches the Rfam family "Bacterial large subunit ribosomal RNA", at positions 696 to 1396 of the family's 2925-position model. Lineage: Bacteria; Pseudomonadati; Pseudomonadota; Gammaproteobacteria; Moraxellales; Moraxellaceae. The record is from RNAcentral.
UUAGUUGCUGGGUAUAGACCCGAAACCAGGCGAUCUAUCCAUGAGCAGGUUGAAGGUUGGGUAACACUAACUGGAGGACCGAACCCACUGUCGUUGAAAAGCCAGGGGAUGACUUGUGGAUAGGGGUGAAAGGCUAAUCAAGCCUGGUGAUAGCUGGUUCUCCCCGAAAGCUAUUUAGGUAGCGCCUCGGACGAAUACCAUAGGGGGUAGAGCACUGUUUCGGCUAGGGGGUCAUCCCGACUUACCAAACCGAUGCAAACUCCGAAUACCUAUGAGUACUAUCCGGGAGACAGACUGCGGGUGCUAACGUCCGUAGUCAAGAGGAAAACAAUCCAGACCGCCAGCUAAGGCCCCAAAAUCAUAGUUAAGUGGGAAACGAUGUGGGAAGGCAUAGACAGCUAGGAGGUUGGCUUAGAAGCAGCCACCCUUUAAAGAAAGCGUAAUAGCUCACUAGUCGAGUCGGCCUGCGCGGAAGAUGUAACGGGGCUAAAACUAUGUGCCGAAGCUGCGGAUUUGACAUUAGUCAAGUGGUAGGGGAGCGUUCUGUAAGCCGAUGAAGGUGUAUUGAGAAGUAUGCUGGAGGUAUCAGAAGUGCGAAUGCUGACGUGAGUAACGACAAAACGGGUGAAAAACCCGUUCGCCGAAAGACCAAGGGUUCCAGUCCAACGUUAAUCGGGGCUGGGUGAGUCGACCCCUAAGG